Molecule: long non-coding RNA, 233 nt
Organism: Acromyrmex echinatior (Panamanian leafcutter ant)
Lineage: Eukaryota; Metazoa; Arthropoda; Insecta; Hymenoptera; Formicidae
Source: RefSeq, a predicted model, not a curated record
CCAUCCACUCUCACGCUGAAAGAUAGAUUGGGAUAGAGAAGGGAUUGCGAACACAGAGUAGUCAAGUUAUUUGGCGUCAGCGUGUCGGUAUGCACGCAACAAUUGUAAUCUGCGUGGAAUAUCGGGAAUUGUGAAGCGGAAUAAUGUCAUGAUCUUGAACAACAUUCAAGAGGUUUUAUCGAAUAACUCUACUGUAGGCGGUACUGUAACUUUCAAGCUUCACAACUCGAUAA